This 522-nucleotide ribosomal RNA is filed under the name uncultured Paracoccaceae bacterium. RNAcentral's name for it is "bacterial SSU rRNA". It matches the Rfam family "Bacterial small subunit ribosomal RNA", at positions 380 to 917 of the family's 1533-position model. Lineage: Bacteria; Pseudomonadati; Pseudomonadota; Alphaproteobacteria; Rhodobacterales; Paracoccaceae. The record is from RNAcentral.
AGCCUGAUGCAGCCAUGCCGCGUGAUGUGAUGACGGCCCUUACGGGUUGUAAAGAUCUUUCAACAGUGAAGAUAAUGACGGUAACUGUAGAACAAGCUCCGGCUAACUCCGUGCCAGCAGCCGCGGUAAUACGGAGGGAGCUAGCGUUGUUCGGAAUUACUGGGCGUAAAGCGCGCGUAGGCGGAUUAUUAAGUCAGAGGUGAAAUCCCGGGGCUCAACCCCGGAACUGCCUUUGAUACUGGUAGUCUAGAGGUCGAGAGAGGUGAGUGGAAUUCCGAGUGUAGAGGUGAAAUUCGUAGAUAUUCGGAGGAACACCAGUGGCGAAGGCGGCUCACUGGCUCGAUACUGACGCUGAGGUGCGAAAGUGUGGGUAGCAAACAGGAUUAGAUACCCUGGUAGUCCACACCGUAAACGAUGAAUGCUAGUCGUCAGGGGACUUGUCCUUUGGUGACGCAGCUAACGCAUUAAGCAUUCCGCCUGGGGAGUACGGUCGCAAGAUUAAAACUCAAGAAAUUUGACGGG